This 443-nucleotide ribosomal RNA is filed under the name uncultured bacterium. RNAcentral describes it as "partial 16S ribosomal RNA". It matches the Rfam family "Bacterial small subunit ribosomal RNA", at positions 338 to 795 of the family's 1533-position model. The record is from RNAcentral.
CCUACGGGUGGCAGCAGUGGGGAAUAUUCGGCAAUGGAGGAAACUCUGACCCAGCAACGCCGCGUGAAUGAUGAAGGUCUUCGGAGUGUAAAGUUCUUUUCUAAGGGAAGAAGAAAGUGACGGUACCUUAGGAAUAAGCCUCGGCUCACUACGUGACAGCCGCCGCGGUAAUACGUAGGAGGCGAGCGUUAUCCGGAAUGACUGGGCGUAAAGGGGGCGUAGGUGGUUUGGCAAGUUAGUAGCGUAACUCCAUGGCUCAACCUUGGAACUACUACUAAAACUGUGGGACUUGAGUGCAGGAGGGGAAAGUGGAAUUCCUAGUGUAGCGGUGGAAUGCGUAGAUAUUAGGAGGAACACCAGUGGCGAAGGCGAGUUGCUAGACUGUAACUGACACUGAGGCACGAAAGCGUGGGGAGCAAACAGGAUUAGAUACCCUAGUAGUC